UGUUUAUUAAACAUUAUGAUUUGUGUUC
This 28-nucleotide small RNA is filed under the name Bombyx mori (domestic silkworm). RNAcentral's name for it is "ovarian small RNA-3920". Lineage: Eukaryota; Metazoa; Arthropoda; Insecta; Lepidoptera; Bombycidae. The record is from RNAcentral.